GACGAACGCUGGCGGCGUGCUUAACACAUGCAAGUCGAACGGAAAGGCCCUGCUUUUGUGGGGUGCUCGAGUGGCGAACGGGUGAGUAACACGUGAGUAACCUGCCCUUGACUUUGGGAUAACUUCAGGAAACUGGGGCUAAUACCGGAUAGGAGCUCCUGCUGCAUGGUGGGGGUUGGAACGUUUCGGCGGUUGGGGAUGGACUCGCGGCUUAUCAGCUUGUUGGUGGGGUAGUGGCUUACCAAGGCUUUGACGGGUAGCCGGCCUGAGAGGGUGACCGGCCACAUUGGGACUGAGAUACGGCCCAGACUCCUACGGGAGGCAGCAGUGGGGAAUAUUGCACAAUGGGCGGAAGCCUGAUGCAGCAACGCCGCGUGCGGGAUGACGGUCUUCGGGUUGUAAACCGCUUUCGCCUGUGACGAAGCGGGAGUGACGGUAAUGGGUAAAGAAGCACCGGCUAACUACGUG
Molecule: ribosomal RNA, 468 nt
Filed under: uncultured bacterium
Lineage: Bacteria
Description: partial 16S ribosomal RNA
Rfam family: Bacterial small subunit ribosomal RNA
Source: RNAcentral